UGCCUUAGUACGGCGAGUGAGCGGCAAAGCUCAAAUUUGAAAUCUGGUACCUUUGGUGCCCGAGUUGUAAUUUGGAGAGUACCACUUUGGGACUGUACUUUGCCUAUGUUCCUUGGAACAGGACGUCAUGGAGGGUGAGAAUCCCGUGUGGCGAGGGUGUCAGUUCUUUGUAAAGGGUGCUCGAAGAGUCGAGUUGUUUGGGAAUGCAGCUCUAAGUGGGUGGUAAAUUCCAUCUAAAGCUAAAUACAGGCGAGAGACCGAUAGCGAACAAGUACAGUGAUGGAAAGAUGAAAAGAACUUUGAAAAGAGAGUGAAAAAGUACGUGAAAUUGUUGAAAGGGAAGGGCAUUUGAUCAGACAUGGUGUUUUGCGCCCCUUGCCUCUCGUGGGCUUGGGACUCUCGCAGCUCACUGGGCCAGCAUCGGUUUUGGCGGCCGGAAAAAACCUAGGGAA
Molecule: ribosomal RNA, 452 nt
Filed under: Nakaseomyces glabratus
Lineage: Eukaryota; Fungi; Ascomycota; Saccharomycetes; Saccharomycetales; Saccharomycetaceae
Description: eukaryotic LSU rRNA
Rfam family: Eukaryotic large subunit ribosomal RNA
Source: RNAcentral